UGGGGGAUAUUGCGCAAUGGGGGGAACCCGUGACGCAGCAACGCCGCGUGAAGGAAGAAGGUUUUCGGAUUGUAAACUUCUUUAAGUGGGGAAGAUAGUGACGGUACCCACAGAAUAAGCCACGGCUAACUACGUGCCAGCAGCCGCGGUAAUACGUAGGUGGCGAGCGUUGUCCGGAUUUACUGGGUGUAAAGGGCGUGUAGGCGGGAUGGCAAGUCAGAUGUGAAAUACCGAGGCUUAACUUCGGGGCUGCAUUUGAAACUGUCGUUCUUGAGUGCCGGAGAGGAAAGCGGAAUUCCUAGUGUAGCGGUGAAAUGCGUAGAUAUUAGGAGGAACACCAGUGGCGAAGGCGGCUUUCUGGACGGUAACUGACGCUGAGGCGCGAAAGCGUGGGGAGCAAACAGGAUUAGAUACCCUGGUAGU
This 423-nucleotide ribosomal RNA is filed under the name uncultured Clostridium sp. RNAcentral's name for it is "bacterial SSU rRNA". It matches the Rfam family "Bacterial small subunit ribosomal RNA", at positions 355 to 794 of the family's 1533-position model. Lineage: Bacteria; Bacillati; Bacillota; Clostridia; Eubacteriales; Clostridiaceae. The record is from RNAcentral.